UCGGUGCAUGCGCCCCCCUCCCCCUUCCACAGCAAAGUUCGACGGGAGGGAACGAAAUCGCGACUCGCCAUCCGCACAGUGUGCUUUCGGUGAGGUGGGCCACAUACACAGUGGCGUCAGUGCACACGUGUAAGACGCGUGCGAGCGUGCUGCCAAAGCCUCCACCCCCCCCAACCGCUUCCUACCCACGCGACACUCCACAGUGUGGGGUGUGGGCACAGCGACAGAACAGCAGAGAAAAAAAGGAAGCGUGCGAAUUUGCACGCCGGCAGCAACCAUCACACCCACACAAACCCGGGCGGAUAUACAGGCACCUACGCCUACGCUGUUGCUGCCACUCGCUCGCACUCGCGUAUCCCUUUUUUCCUUUUGAGCACGUGCGAGCUCUUCCCGAGUUUGCCUUCCUCCUCUUCUCCCGCAGUUGUCGACACCUGGACGAGCGGGGCGCCCACUUGCGCGAUCAGCCCCCUCCCACCCCCCUUUUGCUUCGCCGCCUUUUGGGCACUGCCUCUGGAGCGUCGCGUCUUUCCCGUGUGGGUCUCGCUCUCUCGCGCGCUCCCCUUCGUGUUAACUUUUCUUUGCUUUCGGCUGUGCUGGGUGCUGGUGCGCCAGUGCGCUAGGGUGUGUGCGUGUGUGCUUGGUUUCUCUUUCUUGCUUCGUCCAGCUCACGCCCCACACCGCGCGCGCACGUCGCUCAGUUCCUUGCCUUUGACGGUUCACACCGUUCCCCUCCUCUCCUCUACUCUCUCGCCACCCCCCCUGCGCAUUCACACCGAUCAUCAGCCAGCGCGGUGACCACCGUUCCCAGCGAUUCGCCCUCCCCCUCUCUUUGAUUACCUGCACCUCCGCGCCGACGCAGCGCCUCUCUCCAAACACCGUCUCUGUCUGUGCGCGUGCCUGUCUGUCGUUUUUUUCGUGCACGCUCCCCCCAGUAUUACUGUGAACAACAAAGGGCCGACUACGGCGUCUCGUUGCAGCGAAGGGGAAGGGAGGCACCACAACUUCGCCGUUCAUGGAGGUUGGAAGGCGGCACUAAACUAGCAGAAGAACAUAAAAAGAACACCAUAAAAGUGAUCCUUGCAAGCAACUCCACCCUCUCCUCUCUCUUGCCCUUGCCCCCCCCCCCCCCCCCUCCCAUUUUUUUCGUGGGUGUGCUUCCCGCGAUCAUUUGACGUUGAUGCGCCUCUCUGUAUAUAUAACGCACACAGGCACGCACACACCCACAAAGACACACACACACACGCUCCUCUUUUCUUUUCGGGGAUUUGCUGGCGGCUGUGUCGGUCUCUGUGUGCCUUGCUGCUGUCACCGAAGAGGACGCCGGUGCACAUAAGUGCCCACAUUCGCAUGGAACGCGAAUACCAUUGAGCAGAGUACUCCGCCGCCGCUGCUGCAGCAACGGAAGCAGAGGCACGAAAGACGCACGCGCGCAGAUAUAGAGCGUGAAGAAAGGGGAAAAGGGGGAAGUGUACAGGAAGCAACCAAACGAACGCAGGCGGUAGCGCUCUUUUCACAGCAUCGACCUCCUCCCCCUUCCUCCCGCUCCCUCUCCUGACAUUCCGAAUUCUCCGUCUUCUCUUGGUCUGUCUGCUCUUCUUCCGCUCGGCCUCCUCGUUGAGCUCUAUCCGUUUGCAACCUUCUCUUCUCUACCCCCUUGUUUUUGCUGCUGCUCCUCCCUCAUAGCACGCAUCGCAGCAGCCCACCCGUUUUCCAUCCAUCUGGCACAACAGCGCACGGUGAAACGAAGGGCCGGGCGGGCGGGAGGGCGAGAGGGGCUUUAGCCUUCGUCGAUUGCGGCUCGCUGACUUCCUUUUUGAUUGCUGAUAAGAUAGAAAGCGUCUCUCUCUCUCUCUGUGCGUGUGUGCGUGCCUGCGAGGGCACUUGCGCGCCAGGUCUUUUCUUCCCACUCCCCCACCCCCUUCCCUGCUCUGCUUCCUCUCCCUUUGUAGAGCCGCACUUUCACGCGCGCCCUCUGUUUCUGUUCCUUGGGUUCUCCUCUUGUGUUCCCCCCCUCCUUUGAUCUCCUCCCCCACCGCCAUCGCGCGACGCCUCCUCGUUGUGCGUGCUGCCUUUGUUUUGCUCAAUUUUCUCCCCGUCCUCUCGCUUUGUGAGCUCGCUCGCUACACCCCCCCUCCUCCUUCCCGGCUGUCUCCUCUGCUCGUUGUACACCUGCCUGCCUCUCGCCCCCCCUCGCUUACUGUUUAUGUGUUUUGUUAUUGCGUGUUUUGCUUGUUGUCUUUUGCUCGCUGGGGAAACGCGGGGGCUGCGUGGGAUUUACCCAGGUGUGGCCGCGUGUCGCCGUUGUCUCCCUCAUCUCGGUUCCACCUCCGCUCCUGCCCUCCAGCUCCGCAGAAUACCGUUUUUGUUAAUCCGCCUGUUUCGCUAACGUCGCUUGCCUUCUCUGUGUGCCGUGCGGGUGUAUCUGCGUAUUUCAUCGCUGCCCCGUGUUGUUGAGUGUCUCUUCGCAGUAGGGCCGCUCUUGUCAGCCUUGUGACGGGCAGCUUUCUCACCGCGUCGUCGCGGUCUACGACAUCGCCGCAUAAAGGGGCAGCGCAAGGAAAUCAGCCCACUCCAUACUCAUGGGGUGUGCAGACUCGAAGGAGAAGGUGCGUGGGCCCCGUGAAGGCAAAGUGGCCGAGUCGGUGACGCCGCAGCACGCGCCAGCAACACCGCAGGAGGCGGAAAAAGCAUCUUCCAUCGACUUUGCUCCGUGUUUAUCGCGAAUCUGCGUUGAGGAAGACAAUGACAGUGUUGGUAGGGCAGCGUCGCCGCCACCUGACGAUUCGCAUCCUUUCGUUGACGAUGUGCUAGGGCUGCCGCCCAUGAACGCCGUGUCAUUGCCUCUGCGCCGAGACAGCGACACCGCCACUACAGGCGACGGCGCUUCUCUAACGCCACCUGCGGCUUCUCCCCUCGGCCUGUCCGCGCCAGCGGCAUCCACGUCGCCCCAGCCGACGCAGCUUACGUCCUCAAGAAGGGACGUGGAGGGGGGCGUGCUCGCGAGGAAGACAUCGGCCACAGACGAGCUGCUUCAGUGCGAUAAGGUGGUCAGCUUGCACCCGCCGCCCCUGGAUGAUGCGCUCCCCUCCGGUGCUGCGCACAGCACUGCCGCCCUCGCGUACAUCGACUCCUCCUCACUUCCUCCGCAGCACUCGCUCAGUUCGGUGGCGUACAAAACCCAUUUAGCUGAGCAGCCCUCGUCCGCCUCGCCACAGAGCGUCAGCGACACCCACGCGGCAGCAUCAAGGGAGCUGCGCAGGGGCGCCAACAUCAACGAAGGCGGCUCUGUCCUGACGUGGACACUCGGUGACACCGACACGACGCGGACAUCCUUCCUGCAGACAGCCGGCUCUACACAGCCGCCGUCGCUGCAGGCGAGUCGCUCGUCGUCAUGCCAGCCUGUGGUUCUACCAGUAGCUCAACAAGCAUCGCCAUCGCCGUCGCAGUCGCCAGCGACGGUGGUGGAAACCACAGCAGCGGCGACUGAGACAGCGCCCGCUUCACAGCCACGAUCCGUACUCACCGCCGAGGCGCAGCGCGACCUGCAACUCGCAAGCGCAAGUCGCCUCUCCGGCAGUGGUGGCCCUGUGGCACGUCGGUGCCAUUCCGCACUCGCUUCAUUGGCGCGCCGCUCGCCGUGUGCCGAGGUGAAAGCGACUCUGCGAAACGCGGUCGACGCGUCGGAGCCAAUGGAUGCGACGGCCGGAACGCCUGCGCGGCCGAGCUACGAAUCUGCCCGCGACGCUGGCGCGUCUCCCUUCGGCGAAGCGAGCGAUGGAUGCAGGGAGAGCGGGAGCGGAGUCAUCCCGACAGCGCGGUUGACACAGCCCCCCCAGGCGGUGGCCGCCGCUCGACAGCACUCUCGUUCCGAGUCUUUGCUGCCGUCUACAUCGGGGCGGCAGCAGCAGCUCACCGUGGCGCUGAUGCCAACCUUCAGGCCGCCUCAUGACUCCACGUCUCCAUCUCCGCGCACCCCCGCGCCGCAGCAGACAUCGCCGCGUACGUCGGCACCGGCCACAACAGCACCUGUCAACGUCACUGCUUCUGCCAUAAGCGACGCACCGGACGACGUGCCACUGCCGCAGCAUCUGGACCUUUUCACCGCACUGCCGGCCAGCAACACCGCGAGCGCCGGCACCGCAGGCGGCUACAGCAACUUUGGUGAUGGCGAUGCCGGAGGGGUGCUCCAUCCGCGCUUGCCCAUGCCCAACUCUGCAAACAUACGCGGCAUGGGUACCCACACAAACAGCGAGAGCCUUUGUGCCGCGUCUUCAUCGGCGACGACCACAGGAACCGAAACUCCCACCAAGACACGCACUUCGCGUUUGGAGCUCGGAAGCUGGAACACGCACCACUUCGCCAGCAGCAACAGUAGUUGGCUAUUGAGUAGCAUGAAAAGCACCGAUGGCGGCAGCGGCGGCCUCGCGGUUGGCAGUCGCUGGAACGACGGGAGCUGCACCAGCACUCCACACCCGACGAACUCGGAACUCUUUCGGCAGCUACGUCAGCCCAACACGCGCGUCAAGUCGAUCUUGCGCAAGUCCGGGAGCAGCGCAGCGGUCGCGUACGGCGCGACGGUCAUGAAUGACGGCGAUCAGGCGAAUACAAAUCGCUCCUGCGUGCUGUCGCCCUCCGUCCAUGGUGGCGGGGUCGGUGGCAGAGCCGAGACGACAGCGUGCACCACCCCUCGCAUACCAGCCAGCAGCGGCGCGGCAGGUGGUGGUGACGGGCGGACUUCGGCGAUGCCAUCGCCAAUAGACGAGCCGGCGCUGCAGAUGGACUUCAUUGUGCUUCGCCACACCACCAGCGAUGCGGAUUGCGUGAACGGAAGCGCCACACCCGCCGACGCGUCCCCGUCACCCGCCGGUUUGCGCUCGCGCACGCACCGCGGCUUCCCGACGGGCACCUGGCCGCAGCCCAACCCAGACAAUAUUAACAGCGUAGCUAACAGUAACGUGUCCUGCGUUUUGUGCACAGGUUUCGAGAACGGCAAGGGUGCCUUCGCAGAUGGUGUCCACGGCAGCGACGACGCAGGCACCGACAACACACCCCUCAGCUUAGCGGUGCAACGCUCGUUGGCGUCUCCUUGUCGACUGUCCCGAUCGCCAUCCACACCAGGGUACCCCUCGCCGCACCGUACCCAGCAGUGCCGCUCGAGCGGCAUGAGACGCGGUGGCGACGCUAACGUUGGCAAUAUCAGCAAUGGAAAGACGCAGGUGCUGCCGCCGCCAUCGACAGCGACGGAGCUGCCCAUCUUGUUUGCACGCGAGACCGUCGCCGCGGCAGGGUGCACGUCUGAUGAGCCGCCGCCUGACAUCAUGCUCGCCUCCCCUCCACCAAAGCGGGUGCGCGUGGUAGUAUGAUUCACUUGCUCAGUUAUGCGCAGCGGUGCAGGUUCAAGGGAGAGGCGGCGAGAUAGCGAAAAGACAGACGGAGUAGUCGCUUCCGCUGUCGGUUUUGGAGGGGCUACUAGGCGAGAGGACGCAAGCUGCUUCCUAUGCAAGCUCUGUGUAGCGUAUCUCUGUGUGCGUGCAUGCAAGCACCGCCGCCAUCGCUGCUGCUACCUUAGCCUUGAUGGCGCCGAUGACUGACGCCGCCCUUUUUAUUUUUAUUGGUCUGCAUCGUCGCGUGCGCCUGUGCGAGAGGAGCGGCGCUUCGCCUCUGACUUUCUUCGUUCGCGUCUUACCCUCCUCGUGUGUGGCGGUGGGCGCAAGAGAGGGACAUGGAGGGAUAGAGACGCCUUGACACGGCGUUGUUCGGUUGUACACCCGUACCCGUGUACAUAGAUAUGCAUGUGUGUGUGUACGUGUAUAAGCAUGCGUUUGACACACGCACUCUCGCGUCUUCGCUGAUAUGAAGCGGCGAAGACGCCAUCGCACUCAGAGAUGGGGAGGGAGCGCCACGCAGACAACGAGGGAUUUUGUUUUGUGUGUGUAGGGGGAGGGGGCGUGUGUCUUCUCUUCCCUUGUUAUCUGUGCCCACCGCCUCUCCCUUUCUCGCUCAUUCUCUCUGGACGAGCGUUCGUGCUGUCGUGCAUGAGGCACUUGCGUAUACGCCUGCCCACUGCGUGUAUGCCGCACACCUUUUCCGCCGUCCAACUCCCUCCUCCCCUCCCUUUCUCGUUUGGUCUCCUCUCCUUUUCUGCGCUUCGUUCUCUCCCCCUCCCUCAUUCUUGGUCUCGUGGUUCUUUUGAAGACAGCAACGACGGCGAUACAACGCACUUCUCACGCAUGCACAUGCGUAUGUGCGUGAAAGGAGCGAGCGCUCUUCUCUCCCUCUAUGUAUCUCUUCCUUGUUCUCCUUCCUGCG
Molecule: unclassified non-coding RNA, 6309 nt
Filed under: Leishmania donovani
Lineage: Eukaryota; Euglenozoa; Kinetoplastea; Trypanosomatida; Trypanosomatidae
Description: gene:LdHU3.17.0880(CDS-product:hypothetical_prote in_conserved)
Source: RNAcentral